Molecule: ribosomal RNA, 329 nt
Filed under: uncultured eukaryote
Lineage: Eukaryota
Description: partial 18S ribosomal RNA
Rfam family: Eukaryotic small subunit ribosomal RNA
Source: RNAcentral
CCCUUAGAUGUCCUGGGCUGCACGCGCGCUACACUGAUGUGUCCAGUAAGCACCUAACCUCUUCCGAAAGGAACGGGUAACCUUUGCAAAGCACAUCGUGAUGGGGAUAGAUUAUUGCAAUUAUUAAUCUUGAACGAGGAAUUCCUAGUAAACGCAAGUCAUCAGCUUGCAUUGAUUACGUCCCUGCCCUUUGUACACACCGCCCGUCGCACCUACCGAUUGAAUGACUCGGUGAAAAAUUGGGACUGUGAUUGAAAUUGCUUCAUUGCGAAUUUAAUCGUGGAAACUUUCUUUAACCUAGGCAUUUAGAGGAAGGUGAAGUCGUAACA